Molecule: long non-coding RNA, 747 nt
Filed under: Homo sapiens (human)
Lineage: Eukaryota; Metazoa; Chordata; Mammalia; Primates; Hominidae
Description: non-protein coding lnc-C1orf109-1:1
Source: RNAcentral
GUGGCGGCUCUGCAAUACCCCAAGCUCUGGAGGGCUGGGGGCCUACUAGGUCAGGUCGGCUGUAGGAUUCUGCUCCAGGGUUGGCGGCUGCUUCUUUCUGGCCUGGCUGCCACUGAGUAGCCGAGGGGCCGCCGUGACCCUCUGACUGAUUGACUGGCUGGCUGCCUACGUCGGCGCUCCUCAGGGCCCCAAGCUCCUCAGGCCGAACUUCGGGGUUGGAUUGCUCAAGAGUUGUGCUGAGACCCAGAAGGCUAGAGGCUAGUUUCGAAGCUGUAGCUCAGGCUGAGUCUCAAGGCGGGCGGCGACUGGACGGCCAGACCGGCGAGCUCUUGACGGGUUUGUGGCCUGAUUGUUUGGAUUUGGUGCUUUUCACCUGUGGAUGCGGUCUGAAGCCAUGUCAGAGGGGUUGUGUUUAAGCGUGCAUGUUAUAGGCUAUGGGAGUGAUAAUCUUGCCUCUCCCCCUCUGAGUUGAGGAACAAUCGAAGAAAUAAGCAAAGGUGCCAAGCAGGCUCCUGAUGGGCACCAGCGAGCUUGGGGACAGAGCAGUCCAAGCAUAGAAGUCCUGGCAAGCCUGGACCUUCCUGGAAAGUCCUUUCUCUCUCUUCCACCCUGGUCUGUUGCUCCAUAUGCAACAAAUAUUUGAAUGUCGCUCUUCCGCCCGAGGUCAGCCCUGGGCAGUGGGUAGUGGGGGUGACACCCCAGUCUGCUGGGUGCCUGAGGAUCUCCAUCAGUCAGAUGGCCAAGAUG